Bombus impatiens (common eastern bumble bee) is the source of this 172-nucleotide long non-coding RNA. RefSeq lists it as uncharacterized. NCBI's taxonomy places the organism in Eukaryota, Metazoa, Arthropoda, Insecta, Hymenoptera, Apidae. The transcript is spliced from 3 exons. The record is from RefSeq and is a predicted model, not a curated record.
GAUGCGAUGUCCACGAAGUAACAUUGUUUACCAAUCGGUUUAAACGGUAAAUUUUCGAUAAACUCCACGAAGAAUUCGGAUGUCACCUACUGCACCUACGACCGACCGCGCGCGGUGACAGGGACCAGUCCUCUUAAGUAGGGCCAUGAUGCAAAUGGGUUUCAUGUCACUG